GUGGGGAAUAUUGGACAAUGGGCGAAAGCCUGAUCCAGCCAUGCCGCGUGUGUGAAGAAGGUCUUCGGAUUGUAAAGCACUUUAAGUUGGGAGGAAGGGCAGUAAGUUAAUACCUUGCUGUUUUGACGUUACCGACAGAAUAAGCACCGGCUAACUUCGUGCCAGCAGCCGCGGUAAUACGAAGGGUGCAAGCGUUAAUCGGAAUUACUGGGCGUAAAGCGCGCGUAGGUGGUUUUGUAAGUUGGAGGUGAAAUCCCCGGGCUCAACCUGGGAACUGCCUCCAAAACUGCAUGACUAGAGUACGGUAGAGGGUAGUGGAAUUUCCUGUGUAGCGGUGAAAUGCGUAGGUAUAGGAAGGAACACCAGUGGCGAAGGCGACUACCUGGACUGAUACUGACACUGAGGUGCGAAAGCGUGGGGAGCAAACAGGAUUAGAUACCCGAGUAGUCC
Molecule: ribosomal RNA, 450 nt
Filed under: uncultured bacterium
Lineage: Bacteria
Description: partial 16S ribosomal RNA
Rfam family: Bacterial small subunit ribosomal RNA
Source: RNAcentral